This is a long non-coding RNA of Drosophila hydei, 561 nucleotides long. RefSeq lists it as uncharacterized. Lineage: Eukaryota; Metazoa; Arthropoda; Insecta; Diptera; Drosophilidae. The record is from RefSeq and is a predicted model, not a curated record. The transcript has 2 exons.
UCUAGUGUGUGAGCGAGUUAGCAAGUAGAAGCGCCUAAGCCGAAAAAUAGUUAUCUGUUUGCCUUAGAAUUAUAUAUCGUUAUCAAUAAAAAAUAUUACAUAUUUCGUGAGCCGUGGCACAUUAUCUUGCACACGCAUACACACCGGCACAAUAAAUCGGAAAUCGUGUGAAAUCUGCACAGACAGCUAUAACAAGCAGAGUUUCUUUGUGCGCAGCGUUAACAAGUGCACACAAACAAGCAUACACUCACAUACACACAUACAUACACAGAAACACUGAGUACUCAGCAAACAUUGUUGCACAGCAACAGCAACGCCAACUGCAGAUUAGCAGCAGCAAUUUCUGUUGUAAAACGGAAGUUGUUGUCAUAGUCAGCGUCGCGGCAGAGGCGACGAUAGAGGCUUGUGCUACAGUAAUUUUUAUAUAAAGCAACAAUUUGACGACAACCGAAAACGAACCUUUGCUACCUGAGCGGAGUAACAGGGAGAGAGCGAUAGAGUGGCGGAGGGACACACACACUCGCAUACAGCUAGAGUUGGUUGGUGGCAUAAAGGUUAUCA